RNAcentral lists this ribosomal RNA (406 nucleotides) under uncultured bacterium. RNAcentral describes it as "partial 16S ribosomal RNA". It matches the Rfam family "Bacterial small subunit ribosomal RNA", at positions 30 to 526 of the family's 1533-position model. The record is from RNAcentral.
AUUGAACGCUUGCGGCAGGCCUAACACAUGCAAGUCGAACGAGUGGCGGACGGGUGAGUAAUGUCUAGGAAACUGCCUGCUGGAGGGGGAUAACUACUGGAAACGGUAGCUAAUACCGCAUACCAUAAUAUGUGCCCAGAUGGGAUUAGGUAGUUGGUGGGGCAACGGCUCACCAAGGCGACGCUGCCUAGCUGGUCUGAGGGGCUGACCAGCCACACUGGAACUGCGACACGGUCCAGACUCCGACGGGAGGCAGCAGUGGGGAAUAUUGCGCAAUGGGCGCAAGCCUGAUGCAGCCAUGCCGCGUGUAUGAAGAAGGCCUUCGGGUUGUAAAGUUCUUUCGGCGGGGAGGCGUUACCCGCAGAAGAAGCACCGGCUAACUCCGUGCCAGCAGCCGCGGUAAUUC